AGUGAACGCUGGCGGUAGGCCUAACACAUGCAAGUCGAACGGCAGCGCAGUAAGAGCUUGCUCUUACGGGUGGCGAGUGGCGGACGGGUGAGGAAUACAUCGGAAUCUACUUUUUCGUGGGGGAUAACGUAGGGAAACUUACGCUAAUACCGCAUACGACCUACGGGUGAAAGCAGGGGAUCUUCGGACCUUGCGCGAUUGAAUGAGCUGAUGUCGGAUUAGCUAGUUGGCGGGGUAAAGGCCCACCAAGGCGACGAUCCGUAGCUGGUCUGAGAGGAUGAUCAGCCACACUGGAACUGAGACACGGUCCAGACUCCUACGGGAGGCAGCAGUGGGGAAUAUUGGACAAUGGGCGCAAGCCUGAUCCAGCCAUACCGCGUGGGUGAAGAAGGCCUUCGGGUUGUAAAGCCCUUUUGUUGGGAAAGAAAAGCAGCAGGUUAAUCCCCCGCUGUUCUGACGGUACCCAAAGAAUAAGCACCGGCUAACUUCGUG
This 492-nucleotide ribosomal RNA is filed under the name uncultured bacterium. Its description in RNAcentral is "partial 16S ribosomal RNA". It matches the Rfam family "Bacterial small subunit ribosomal RNA", at positions 29 to 507 of the family's 1533-position model. The record is from RNAcentral.